This 468-nucleotide ribosomal RNA is filed under the name uncultured bacterium. Its description in RNAcentral is "partial 16S ribosomal RNA". It matches the Rfam family "Bacterial small subunit ribosomal RNA", at positions 28 to 507 of the family's 1533-position model. The record is from RNAcentral.
GACGAACGCUGGCGGCGUGCUUAACACAUGCAAGUCGAACGGAAAGGCCUUUCUCUUGUGGGGUGCGCGAGUGGCGAACGGGUGAGUAUCACGUGAGUAACCUGCCCUCGACUUUGGGAUAACUUUAGGAACCUGGGGCUAAUACCGGAAAGGAGCUCCUGCGGCAUGGUGGGGGUUGGAAUGUGUCGGCGGUUGUGGAUGGACUCGCGGUUUCUCAGGCGGUUGGUGGGGGAGUGUCUGACCAAGGGUUUGACGGGUAGGCGGCCGGAGAGGGUGACCGGCCACAAUAGGACUGAGGUGAGGCCCAGCCUCCUACGAGAGGAAGCAGUGGGGAAUAUUGCACCAUAGGCGGCAGCCUGAUGCAGCAACGCCGCGUGCGGGAUGAAGGCCUUCGAGUUGUAAACAGCUUUCGCCUGUGACGAAGAGUGAGUGACGGUAAUGGGUAAAGAAGCACCGGCUAACUACGUG